GACGAACGCUGGCGGCGUGCUUAACACAUGCAAGUCGAACGGAAAGGCCCUGCUUUUGUGGGGUGCUCGAGUGGCGAACGGGUGAGUAACACGUGAGUAACCUGCCCUUGACUUUGGGAUAACUUCAGGAAACUGGGGCUAAUACCGGAUAGGAGCUCCUGCUGCAUGGUGGGGGUUGGAAAGUUUCGGCGGUUGGGGAUGGACUCGCGGCUUAUCAGCUUGUUGGUGGGGUAGUGGCUUACCAAGGCUUUGACGGGUAGCCGGCCUGAGAGGGUGACCGGCCACCAUGGGCCUGAGAUACGGCCCAGACUCCUACGGGAGGCAGCAGUGGGGAAUAUUGCACAAUGGGCGGAAGCCUGAUGCAGCAACGCCGCGUGCGGGAUGACGGCCUUCGGGUUGUAAACCGCUUUCGCCUGUGACGAAGCGUGAGUGACGGUAAUGGGUAAAGAAGCACCGGCUAACUACGUG
Molecule: ribosomal RNA, 468 nt
Filed under: uncultured bacterium
Lineage: Bacteria
Description: partial 16S ribosomal RNA
Rfam family: Bacterial small subunit ribosomal RNA
Source: RNAcentral